Molecule: long non-coding RNA, 682 nt
Filed under: Ananas comosus (pineapple)
Lineage: Eukaryota; Viridiplantae; Streptophyta; Magnoliopsida; Poales; Bromeliaceae
Description: long non-coding RNA (ACOM_LNC012790)
Source: RNAcentral
AAAGGAUGAAAUGAUCUAAUGAUCAAAAUUAGUCUGGCACUACAACAGAAUUAGAUUAUAGAGACACAUGUUUGGGACACUUUUGAGUAAGUGUCCCAUUUAUGCUAAAACUUAAAAAAAACAUCUACUAAUGCCUAAAUAUAAAGCCCAAUCCAACCAAAAAUAAAAGAUUACUCUACUCAACCCACCACACCCAGUUUAUUUGGCCCGAUUACAAACAGAAAAGAAAAAAAAAGAAAAAUAAAUUACCAUCUUUUCUUCUCUCUUCACUCAAUCCAGUGAAAUUCUAGACGAAGAGCCUUUCGUGUCGUUCUUCUCCGCCACCGCAGACAACGAGAUAGAGUUUUGACGGUUGCUAAAUGUUUAAAUAAGUGUUGGUAAAUUAGCAGCACUCUUUUAGGUUAUACCGACACUCUUUAACUGUCACUAUAUACCUAGCGACCCCACAUAUAGCAACACUUUUUAAAAGUGUCGGUAAUUUUAGCUAGCAGCACUUUUUUGACAUGUACCUAUAUUUAAAAGUGUCGNCGGUAAUUUUAGCUAGCAGCACUUUUUUGACAUGUACCUAUAUUUAAAAGUGUCGUUAUAGACCGUUUUUGUUGUAGUGUGAAAAAUUACUAGAAAUUAGAAAAUAAUAAUAAUAAUAAUAAUAACAAAGAACAAAAUAUAUAAAUAUAAUUUG